RNAcentral lists this ribosomal RNA (674 nucleotides) under Aurantiporus venustus. Its description in RNAcentral is "partial large subunit ribosomal RNA". The record is from RNAcentral. Lineage: Eukaryota; Fungi; Basidiomycota; Agaricomycetes; Polyporales; Meruliaceae.
ACCGUGUACAAGUCUCUUGGAACAGAGCGUCAUAGAGGGUGAGAAUCCCGUCUUUGACACGGACUACCAGUGCUUUGUGAUGCGCUCUCAAAGAGUCGAGUUGUUUGGGAAUGCAGCUCAAAAUGGGUGGUAAAUUCCAUCUAAAGCUAAAUAUUGGCGAGAGACCGAUAGCGAACAAGUACCGUGAGGGAAAGAUGAAAAGCACUUUGGAAAGAGAGUUAAACAGUACGUGAAAUUGCUGAAAGGGAAACGCUUGAAGUCAGUCGCGUCGUUCAGAACUCAACCUGGCUUUUGCUCGGYGCACUUUCUGUUCGACGGGCCAGCAUCAGUUUUGACCGUCGGAGAAAGGCCCUUGGAAUGUGGCACCUUCGGGUGUGUUAUAGCCUCGGGUCAUAUACGGCGGUUGGGACUGAGGACCGCAGCACGCCUCACGGCCGGGGUUCGCCCACGCACGUGCUUAGGAUGCUGGCAUAAUGGCUUUAAACGACCCGUCUUGAAACACGGACCAAGGAGUCUAACAUGCCUGCGAGUGUUUGGGUGGAAAACUCGAACGCGCAACGAAAGUGAAAGUUGGGAUCCCUGUCGCGGGGAGCACCGACGCCCAUACCAGACCUUCUGUGACGGAUAUGCGGUUGAGCAUGCAUGUUGGGACCCGAAAGAUGGUGAACUAUGCC